UACGUAGGGCGCAAGCGUUAUCCGGAAUUAUUGGGCGUAAAGAGCUCGUAGGCGGUUUGUCGCGUCUGCCGUGAAAGUCCGGGGCUCAACUCCGGAUCUGCGGUGGGUACGGGCAGACUAGAGUGAUGUAGGGGAGACUGGAAUUCCUGGAUGUAGCGGUGAAAUGCGCAGAUAUCAGGAGGAACACCGAUGGCGAAGGCAGGUCUCUGGGCAUUAACUGACGCUGGAGGAGCGAAAAGCAUGGGGAGCGAACAGG
This 256-nucleotide ribosomal RNA is filed under the name uncultured bacterium. Its description in RNAcentral is "partial 16S ribosomal RNA". It matches the Rfam family "Bacterial small subunit ribosomal RNA", at positions 524 to 776 of the family's 1533-position model. The record is from RNAcentral.